This 496-nucleotide ribosomal RNA is filed under the name uncultured bacterium. Its description in RNAcentral is "partial 16S ribosomal RNA". It matches the Rfam family "Bacterial small subunit ribosomal RNA", at positions 28 to 506 of the family's 1533-position model. The record is from RNAcentral.
GAUGAACGCUGGCGGCGUGCCUAAUACAUGCAAGUCGAGCGAACAGACGAGGAGCUUGCUCCUCUGACGUUAGCGGCGGACGGGUGAGUAACACGUGGAUAACCUACCUAUAAGACUGGGAUAACUUCGGGAAACCGGAGCUAAUACCGGAUAAUAUAUUGAACCGCAUGGUUCAAUAGUGAAAGACGGUUUUGCUGUCACUUAUAGAUGGAUCCGCGCCGCAUUAGCUAGUUGGUAAGGUAACGGCUUACCAAGGCGACGAUGCGUAGCCGACCUGAGAGGGUGAUCGGCCACACUGGAACUGAGACACGGUCCAGACUCCUACGGGAGGCAGCAGUAGGGAAUCUUCCGCAAUGGGCGAAAGCUUGACGGAGCAACGCCGCGUGAGUGAUGAAGGUCUUCGGAUCGUAAAACUCUUUUAUUAGGGAAGAACAAAUGUGUAAGUAACUAUGCACGUCUUGACGGUACCGAAUCAGAAAGCCACGGCUAACUACGU